CUGCUAAUACCGCAUAAGCGCACGGGAACGCAUGUUUCUGUGUGAAAAACUCCGGUGGUGUAAGAUGGGCCCGCGUUGGAUUAGGUAGUUGGUGAGGUAACGGCUCACCAAGCCGACGAUCCAUAGCCGACCUGAGAGGGUGACCGGCCACAUUGGGACUGAGACACGGCCCAAACUCCUACGGGAGGCAGCAGUGGGGAAUAUUGCACAAUGGGCGCAAGCCUGAUGCAGCGACGCCGCGUGAGCGAAGAAGUAUUUCGGUAUGUAAAGCUCUAUCAGCAGGGAAGAAAAUGACGGUACCUGACUAAGAAGCUCCGGCUAAAUACGUGCCAGCAGCCGCGGUAAUACGUAUGGAGCAAGCGUUAUCCGGAAUUACUGGGUGUAAAGGGAGCGUAGACGGAUGUGCAAGUCUGAUGUGAAAGGCGGGGGCUCAACCCCUGGACUGCAUUGGAAACUGUAAAUCUUGAGUGCCGGAGAGGUAAGCGGAAUUCCUAGUGUAGCGGUGAAAUGCGUAGAUAUUAGGGGGAACACCAGUGGCGAAGGCGGCUUACUGGACGGUAACUGACGUU
This 569-nucleotide ribosomal RNA is filed under the name uncultured bacterium. Its description in RNAcentral is "bacterial SSU rRNA". It matches the Rfam family "Bacterial small subunit ribosomal RNA", at positions 160 to 747 of the family's 1533-position model. The record is from RNAcentral.